Molecule: ribosomal RNA, 455 nt
Filed under: uncultured archaeon
Lineage: Archaea
Description: bacterial SSU rRNA
Rfam family: Bacterial small subunit ribosomal RNA
Source: RNAcentral
ACGGCUCAGUAACACGUGAGAAACCUGCCCCGAUCUCUGGGAUAACAGUUGGAAACGACUGCUAAUACCGGAUGCCGUCACACCGCUUCAUGGCGGAGUGCCGAAAGAUUUAUCGGAUCGGGAGGGUCUCGCGGCCUAUCAGCUAGUUGGAGAGGUAACGGCUCACCAAGGCAUCGACGGGUAGCUGGUCUGAGAGGAUGAUCAGCCACACUGGGACUGAGACACGGCCCAGACUCCUACGGGAGGCAGCAGUGGGGAAUCUUGCACAAUGGGCGAAAGCCUGAUGCAGCAACGCCGCGUGCGGGAAGAAGGCCCUAGGGUUGUAAACCGCUUUCAGUAGGGAAGAAAAUGACGGUACCUACAGAAGAAGGUGCGGCCAACUACGUGCCAGCAGCCGCGGUGACACGUAGGCACCAAGCGUUAUCCGGAUUUAUUGGGCGUAAAGAGCUCGUAGG